RNAcentral lists this ribosomal RNA (1185 nucleotides) under uncultured organism. Its description in RNAcentral is "bacterial SSU rRNA". It matches the Rfam family "Bacterial small subunit ribosomal RNA", at positions 205 to 1392 of the family's 1533-position model. The record is from RNAcentral.
AGCUAGCGCCUGAGGAUGAGCCUGCGUCUCAUUAGCUAGUUGGUAGGGUAAUGGCCUACCAAGGCGACGAUGGGUAGCCGGCCUGAGAGGGUGAGCGGCCACACUGGGACUGAGAUACGGGCCAGACUCCUACGGGAGGCAGCAGUGAGGAAUAUUGCGCAAUGGCCGAAAGGUUGACGCAGCGACGCCGCGUGAGGGAUGAAGCUUUUAGGAGUGUAAACCUCUGUUAGGAGGGAAGAAUAAUGGCAAUUCGAACAGGGUUGUCAGAUGACGGUACCUCCAGAGGAAGCCCCGGCUAACUCCGUGCCAGCAGCCGCGGUAAUACGGGGGGGGCUAGCGUUGUCCGGAAUUACUGGGCGUAAAGGGCGCGUAGGCGGGAUAGCAAGUCAGUGGUGCAAACUUGAGGCUUAACUUCAAGCUUGCCAUUGAUACUGUUAUUCUUGAGUUCGGCAGAGGGAAGUGGAAUUCCUGGUGUAGCGGUGAAAUGCGUAGAUUUCAGGAAGAACACCGGUGGCGAAGGCGGCUUCCUGGUCCGAUACUGACGCUGAGGCGCGAAAGCGUGGGGAGCGAACAGGAUUAGAUACCCUGGUAGUCCACGCUGUAAACGAUGGGUACUAGGUGUUGGUUGUAAUGAUCAGCGCCGGAGCAAACGCAUUAAGUACCCCGCCUGGGGAAUACGGUCGCAAGACUGAAACUCAAAGGAAUUGACGGGGGCCCGCACAAGCGGUGGAGCAUGUGGUUUAAUUCGAUGCAACGCGAAGAACCUUACCUGGGCUUGAACUGCAGGUGCUAUCUCCUGAAAGGGAGUUUCCUUCGGGACGCCUGUAGAGGUGCUGCAUGGCUGUCGUCAGCUCGUGCUGUGAGGUGUUGGGUUAAGUCCCGCAACGAGCGCAACCCCUGUCCCUAGUUGCCAUCAGGUCAAGCUGGGAACUCUAGGGGGACUGCCCCGGAUAACGGGGAGGAAGCUGGGGAUGACGUCAAGUCAUCAUGGCCCUUACGUCCAGGGCUACACACGUGCUACAAUGGCCGGUACAACGGGUAGCGAGACAGCGAUGUGGAGCAAAUCCCUUAAAACCGGUCUCAGUUCAGAUUGCAGUCUGCAACCCGACUGCAUGAAGUUGGAAUCGCUAGUAAUCGCGGAUCAGCAUGCCGCGCUGCCUACGUUCCCGGGCCUUGUACACACCG